Molecule: ribosomal RNA, 253 nt
Filed under: uncultured bacterium
Lineage: Bacteria
Description: partial 16S ribosomal RNA
Rfam family: Bacterial small subunit ribosomal RNA
Source: RNAcentral
UACGGAGGGUGCGAGCGUUGUCCGGAAUCACUGGGCGUAAAGGGCGCGUAGGCGGCCCGGUAAGUAGGGGGUGAAAUCUUGCGGCUUAACCGCAAGGCUGCCUUCUAAACUGCCAGGCUCGAGCACAGUAGAGGCAGGUGGAAUUCCCGGUGUAGCGGUGGAAUGCGUAGAUAUCGGGAGGAACACCAGUGGCGAAGGCGGCUCUCUGGGCAGAUACCGACGCUGAGACGCGAAAGGGUGGGAAGCAAACAGG